Molecule: ribosomal RNA, 477 nt
Filed under: uncultured bacterium
Lineage: Bacteria
Description: bacterial SSU rRNA
Rfam family: Bacterial small subunit ribosomal RNA
Source: RNAcentral
AUGGCUCAGGAGUGAACGCUGGCGGCGUGCUUAACACAUGCAAGUCGAACGGACCAUAUUCGUAUGGUUAGUGGCAGACGGGUGCGUAACACGUAGGUGACCUGCCCUCGAGUGGGGAAUAACUCGACUAACGUCGAGCUAAUACCGCAUACGUUCGCUCCUUCGUUGGGGUGAGUAAAGCAGUAAUGCGCUUGGGGAUGGGCCUGCGGCGGAUUAGGUAGUUGGUGGGGUAACGGCCUACCCAAGCCGAUGAUCCGUAGGGGGCGUGAGAGCGUGGCCCCCCACAUUGGCACUGAGACACGGGCCAAACUCCUACGGGAGGCAGCAGUGAGGAAUAUUGCACAAUGGGCGAAAAAGCCUGAUGCAGCAACGCCGCGUGAGGGACGAAGGCCUUCGGGUCGUAAACCUCUUUUCUGGGGGACGAGACAGGACGGUACCCCAGGAAUAAGUCUCGGCUAACUACGUGCCAGCCGCCGC